Molecule: ribosomal RNA, 253 nt
Filed under: uncultured bacterium
Lineage: Bacteria
Description: partial 16S ribosomal RNA
Rfam family: Bacterial small subunit ribosomal RNA
Source: RNAcentral
UACAGAGGGUGCAAGCGUUGUUCGGACUUACUGGGCGUAAAGCGCGUGUAGGCGGUCUUUUAAGUCUGGUGUGAAAGCCUGAGGCUUAACCUCAGAAGUGCACUGGAUACUGGAAGACUAGAGGGUAAAAGAGGAGAGUGGAAUUCAUAGUGUAGGGGUGAAAUCCGUAGAUAUUAUGAGGAACAUCAGUGGCGAAGGCGGCUCUCUGGUUUACUACUGACGCUCAGACGCGAAAGCAUGGGGAGCAAACAGG